AGACUUCUACUUCCUUUGGAAGCUUCAACAAUUACCAAUGAGUACCAAUUACCUGCAGAAAAAAAUAACAGAACUAACCACAUCCUGGUGUUUAGGCCUUGUUGUAGCCGUCUCCUGCUGCUGACUUAAUUAAGACCUGCCAGUCUGAGACCAGCUCUUCCCAGCGGUCUGCCGCAGUCUGUCACAGCCUGCUUUCAGCGUGACAGGUAAGGGCAUGGUGGCACUCAGCCGUCUCCUGCUGCUGACUUAAUUAAGGCCUGCCAGUCUGAGACCAGCUCUUCCCAGCAGUCUGCCGCAGUCUGUCACAGCCUGCUUUCAGUAGCCGUCUCCUGCUGCUGACUUAAUUAAGACCUGCCAGUCUGAGACCAGCUCUUCCCAGCGGUCUGCCGCAGUCUGUCACAGCCUGCUUUCAGCGUGACAGGUAAGGGCAUGGUGGCACUCUGUUCUGUUUGCCUUGUGCACUUGUGCACAGAAAGGAGGAUGUCAGCUGUCCCUACACCAAACUGCAC
This 509-nucleotide long non-coding RNA is filed under the name Ficedula albicollis (Collared flycatcher). RNAcentral describes it as "lncRNA (ENSFALG00000028468.1)". Lineage: Eukaryota; Metazoa; Chordata; Aves; Passeriformes; Muscicapidae. The record is from RNAcentral.